GGCAUCCGGGCCCGCACCCUACUUCCCAGCAGGGUGUCACGCUCCCCUGAAGACUGGCCGCUUCUCGACCCUGCUAGAUGAAGAAAAUCCAAGGAAAGCCUGAAGCACUAGCGGUGCUAGCCAGAAGUGUUUGCCCUCGGGGCCCGACCCAACCUCUUGGUCUGAAAGGCCCGCCGGCCCUGUUAUUGUUUGGCUCCACAUUUACAUUUCUGCCGCUUGCAGGAGCAUUUCCGGUUUCUUUUUUUUUUUUUUCGGAGCAGAUCACUGCUUACCCGGCGACGGGGGAGUAGCAAAGGGGAAGAAAAUAUAUUCUAGGCCGGUUCUGUUGUUUGAGGAGGAAAACUGCUAUCCUCGACAUCUUAUUUUUCUGGAUUACUUGGUUAUUGCUUUUGCGAAGGAGGAGGUGUUUAUUUAAAAGAGUGCACCGAUAGGUCGUUUCUUCGUGCCGGAAAAGCAAAUUACCGAGUAUCCGGUUUUGGGGUGAGCCAUUCCCUUAACGCAUUCCGCACGUCCUGAAAGCGGAAGGGGCGGGCCAUAGCCCGGGGAGCCCGGAGGUCCUAAGUGCAGUCCGCCCGCACCCGCCGGUUCUUCCCAGUGGGAGGUGACAGAACCCUGUCUGGGCUUGGGUAUUACUGUUCCCGCAACUUCAGCUUUUAGAAGAGGUCAUUUUAUUACAGUUUAUUAUCGCGCAACAAACUUCGUGCGUGCCUUUUUGUUGCUUCUUUUUAUUUUGUAAAAAAUACUAUUUACACACAGCACUUGGAACGAGAAAUAAAUUGCUUUUUGUACCUCU
Molecule: long non-coding RNA, 793 nt
Filed under: Rattus norvegicus (Norway rat)
Lineage: Eukaryota; Metazoa; Chordata; Mammalia; Rodentia; Muridae
Description: long non-coding RNA NONRATT004446
Source: RNAcentral